GAGAGAAGGCAGGGCUGAAAUACGGUGUGGCCAUGGCACAGGCUCCUUCCCACAGCUUGGCUCAGCAGGAUGGUUAGAUUUCCCACGCGUCAAAAGAAUGCUGAGGAAGCCCGCUGAAUAUGGACUCCAACGGUGCCCUAGGGGAUGGUGGAGCCACCAGAUGGAAGGAGCCUGGUGAUCCCGAGAAGGAGAGAUGCCUCGCUGACCUGAACAUCUUUCCAGAACUGUUAAAUGAAGCCUGCAGGACACCAGCUGACAGUGGAAGGACUGAGGAAGGUUGUAUAAUUUUGUGCAAGGUCCACCACAAAUCCAGCUGAAGAACUGCUCCAAAGUUUAGGUCAUGGCAAGAACAAGACUGGAUCACUCCAUGUCAGUGGAAACAUGUCCACCAACUUCAUCAUUGUCUGUUGUCAUGGUUCACUUUAGAUGUAAACUUGACUGGAUUAAGGAUUCCCUAAAGUGUCAGGCCUCUGAGCCCAAGCUAAGCCAUCAUAUCCCCUGUGACCUGCAUGUACACAUCCAGAUGGCCGGUUCCUGCCUUAACUGACGACAUUCCACCACAAAAGAAGUGAAAAUGGCCUGUUCCUGCCUUAACUGAUGACAUUAUCUUGUGAAAUUCCUUCUCCUGGCUCAUCCUGGCUCCAAAGCUCCCCCACUGAGCACCUUGUGACCCCCACUCCUGCCCACCAGAGAACAACCCCCUUUGACUGUAAUUUUCCUUUACCUUCCCAAAUCUUAUAAAAUGGCCCCACCCCAUCUCCCUUUGCUGACUUUCUUUUCAGACUCAGCCCUCCUGCAACCAGUUGAUUAAAAGCU
RNAcentral lists this long non-coding RNA (816 nucleotides) under Homo sapiens (human). RNAcentral describes it as "HSALNT0359279". The record is from RNAcentral. Lineage: Eukaryota; Metazoa; Chordata; Mammalia; Primates; Hominidae.